UACAGAGGUCUCAACCGUUGUUCGGAUUCAUUGGGCGUAAAGGGCUCGUAGGCGGUUUGUCGCGUCGGGAGUGAAAACUCAGGGCUUAACCCUGAGCCUGCUUCCGAUACGGGCAGACUAGAGGUAUGCAGGGGAGAAUGGAAUUCCUGGUGUAGCGGUGAAAUGCGCAGAUAUCAGGAGGAACACCAGCGGCGAAGGCGGCGCUCUGGGCUGGAACUGACGCUGAGGAGCGAAAGCGUGGGGAGCGAACAGG
RNAcentral lists this ribosomal RNA (253 nucleotides) under uncultured bacterium. RNAcentral describes it as "partial 16S ribosomal RNA". It matches the Rfam family "Bacterial small subunit ribosomal RNA", at positions 524 to 776 of the family's 1533-position model. The record is from RNAcentral.